UAACUGAAGAGUUUGAUCAUGGCUCAGAUUGAACGCUGGCGGCAGGCUUAACACAUGCAAGUCGAGCGGGGGAAGGUAGCUUGCUACUGGACCUAGCGGCGGACGGGUGAGUAAUGCUUAGGAAUCUGCCUAUUAGUGGGGGACAACAUCUCGAAAGGGAUGCUAAUACCGCAUACGUCCUACGGGA
RNAcentral lists this ribosomal RNA (187 nucleotides) under Acinetobacter baumannii. Its description in RNAcentral is "partial 16S ribosomal RNA". It matches the Rfam family "Bacterial small subunit ribosomal RNA", at positions 1 to 187 of the family's 1533-position model. Lineage: Bacteria; Pseudomonadati; Pseudomonadota; Gammaproteobacteria; Moraxellales; Moraxellaceae. The record is from RNAcentral.